UACGUAGGAUGCAAGUGUUAUCCGGAAUCACUGGGCGUAAAGCGUCUGUAGGUGGCUUAAUAAGUCAACUGUUAAAUCUUGAAGCUCAACUUCAAAAUCGCAGUCGAAACUAUUAGACUAGAGUAUAGUAGAGGUAAAGGGAAUUUCCAGUGGAGCGGUGAAAUGCGUAGAGAUUGGAAAGAUCACCGAUGGCGAAGGCACUUUACUGGGCUAUUACUGACACUCAGAGACGAAAGCUAGGGUAGCAAAUGGG
Molecule: ribosomal RNA, 253 nt
Filed under: uncultured bacterium
Lineage: Bacteria
Description: partial 16S ribosomal RNA
Rfam family: Bacterial small subunit ribosomal RNA
Source: RNAcentral